RNAcentral lists this ribosomal RNA (497 nucleotides) under uncultured bacterium. RNAcentral's name for it is "partial 16S ribosomal RNA". It matches the Rfam family "Bacterial small subunit ribosomal RNA", at positions 28 to 507 of the family's 1533-position model. The record is from RNAcentral.
GAUGAACGCUGGCGGCGUGCCUAAUACAUGCAAGUCGAGCGAACAGAUGAGGAGCUUGCUCCUCUGACGUUAGCGGCGGACGGGUGAGUAACACGUGGAUAACCUACCUAUAAGACUGGGAUAACUUCGGGAAACCGGAGCUAAUACCGGAUAAUAUAUUGAACCGCAUGGUUCAAUAGUGAAAGACGGUUUUGCUGUCACUUAUAGAUGGAUCCGCGCCGCAUUAGCUAGUUGGUAAGGUAACGGCUUACCAAGGCAACGAUGCGUAGCCGACCUGAGAGGGUGAUCGGCCACACUGGAACUGAGACACGGUCCAGACUCCUACGGGAGGCAGCAGUAGGGAAUCUUCCGCAAUGGGCGAAUGCCUGACGGAGCAACGCCGCGUGAGUGAUGAAGGUCUUCGGAUCGUAAAACUCUGUUAUUAGGGAAGAACAAAUGUGUAAGUAACUAUGCACGUCUUGACGGUACCUAAUCAGAAAGCCACGGCUAACUACGUG